UGGGGAAUAUUGCACAAUGGAGGGAACUCUGAUGCAGCGACGCCGCGUGAGUGAUGAAGGAAUUCGUUUCGUAAAACUCUGUUCUAUGGGAAGAAAAGGACUGUACCAUAGGAGAAAGCUCCGGCUAAAUACGUGCCAGCAGCCGCGGUAAUACGUAUGGAGCGAGCGUUGUCCGGAAUUAUUGGGCGUAAAGGGUGCGCAGGCGGCUUUACAAGUUGGAUGUGAAAUAUUGUGGCUCAACCACAAACGUGCAUCCAAAACUGCAAAGCUUGAGUUAAGGAGAGGUAAGUGGAAUUCCUGGUGUAGCGGUGGAAUGCGUAGAUAUCAGGAGGAAUACCGGUGGCGAAGGCGACUAACUGGAAUUAAACUGACGCUCAGGCACGAAAGCGUGGGGAGCAAACAGG
RNAcentral lists this ribosomal RNA (404 nucleotides) under Fusobacteriota bacterium. Its description in RNAcentral is "Fusobacteria bacterium partial 16S ribosomal RNA". It matches the Rfam family "Bacterial small subunit ribosomal RNA", at positions 355 to 776 of the family's 1533-position model. Lineage: Bacteria; Fusobacteriati; Fusobacteriota. The record is from RNAcentral.